This is a long non-coding RNA of Gossypium raimondii (Peruvian cotton), 314 nucleotides long. RefSeq lists it as uncharacterized. The record is from RefSeq and is a predicted model, not a curated record. The transcript is spliced from 3 exons. NCBI's taxonomy places the organism in Eukaryota, Viridiplantae, Streptophyta, Magnoliopsida, Malvales, Malvaceae.
AUGCAUGUUCAUCUUUUGGCCGAAUAUUGAAGAGAAAAAGAACCAUUUGGAAGCUUUAAAGAUUCGGCACUUUGAAGCUCAAAUUGAGAUCAAGAAACGAAGAAAACGAAUUUGGAUCGGGGAAAAACGAAAGUAAUCGAAUAGUCGAUCGUGUCUGCUGAUAUCCGAGAUUUUGGAGACGCGUUACGAGCUCGGGGAUCAUCAGCAUAGUCCAUCACACUAUCGACUUCUUUUGGUAUUUUGUUAAAUAUUUGAACUUAAUAUUAUGGCAUGUAUAGGUUUGAGUACGAUGUUAAUUACAUUUUGAUUGUAAA